AAAAAAAAUGACUAUUUGAUCGUACAGAGCAGCUACAUCUAAACUUAACUUUUGCAAAACAAAGUCCUGAAAUCAAAACAAUAUUUAUUUCAUUCCACUGUAGUAUAAUACAAAAAAAUUGUUCAGUUUAGAGGUAAAUAUUACGUCCCUCAGUACAUUACAAAGUACAAACCCUCUCCUCCUAGCUGCAAGCCUUAUCUUAAGAUACACAAAAAAUCCAACUCCUCUAUGGUAGUAGCUUCACUAUAUACAGUACUUUAAGCUUGGUAGUAGCCUAAGGAUGAUUAAUCUUUCACCCUGGAAUAUCAUAAUUAAAUGAUGAGCUAUACAACUAAGCAAGUACUCAAACAUAGCAAAUAAUAUAGUAUGAAGAAAAAUAGAAUGAUUGGAACAAUAUGGAUACAUACUUAUUAAAAUUCAAAUAAUUAAUAAACAAUAUUUUAGAAUAUAUAUCCAAUAAGUACAUUAUUUAGAAACAUCGAGAUGUUUUUAAAACAAUUGGUAUCAUCAGGAUGCAUGCCUUUUCUUGCAAAAUUAUCGAAAACACUCACUUAGGAAAACAUUGAAAUGCACUUAGAAAUAUUCAAAAUACAACGGGGUACACUUAAAAGCACUUGAAUACCCUAAAACUCUAAAACACCCAUCAUAUCUUUUCAAUACCAACUGGUUAGCAACCAGCUG
RNAcentral lists this long non-coding RNA (681 nucleotides) under Phoenix dactylifera (date palm). Its description in RNAcentral is "long non-coding RNA (PDAC_LNC019527)". The record is from RNAcentral. Lineage: Eukaryota; Viridiplantae; Streptophyta; Magnoliopsida; Arecales; Arecaceae.